Parasteatoda tepidariorum (common house spider) is the source of this 423-nucleotide non-coding RNA. NCBI's taxonomy places the organism in Eukaryota, Metazoa, Arthropoda, Arachnida, Araneae, Theridiidae. The record is from RefSeq and is a predicted model, not a curated record.
AUUCAAUUAUGCCAAAAGUAAUAUUUUCUUAUUUCUUUUAAGACUCUCAAGUAAUAUGAUGUUCUACAUGGGAAAAUUUUAGAAACUGCAACUGCAUUUCAGCAGCAGCCAAUUGGUAAUUAACAUGUAAACAGGUGUUGGCCAUGGUGUCUUGGAGGUUCAAUUUUGUGACCAACAGCAUGAUUGUGGCAAUGUGGUUAGCAUUGCACGCAAGGCGCCUUUACUUCCCAGACAAGCUGGAAUCAUCAAUCGGAAGCUAGAUGGCUUCAAGCCACCACUGGGUAUCUGACCCCAGUUCUUCUCAAGUACAGAAGUACAGAACCUUAACUACUGAAUCAUUGCAGCUCACCACUAUAAAUCAUAUCUUAAUAAUGUACCCCCUAACCUCAAAGGUAUAUUAUAAAUAAAAUACUUCAUACAUGA